CCUCUAGCCAGAAGGUCCAUUUAUCAUCACUAGCUCCACUAAGUCUACAUACAUAUGAUGGGGGACCACCAUCAAUUGCUUCAGGAGCUGGAAGUAUAUUGUCCGCAAGUGACCAACUUGAUAAGGGACCUGUAAUGUUAAGGACUGCAACCCAGACCUCUUUCAAGUCACCUAAGGAAAGUUCCAAGUAAACUCUCCUAGAUCCCCUGCUAGAAAAAGUACCAGGCUUGUAAUUAGACAAAUGGGGGAAAUAUCUAUAUUGCUUAAUAAUGUCAUCACUCCUUGCAGGGAACUUCAAACUUCUUGAAAACAGAUGAGAUACUGGAAAAAGAGCCAUCCAAGUCUCUCGGUGAGACGUAUUUGCAGUUUUGAAAGAAAAAUCCGUACCAACGUGCAAAUCCUUUGCAACUUCAGGAGCAUGUUUAAAAAGAAAAAGUAAAGAAUUGGAAUCCACUACAGAAAAAUCAUAACUGGAGUCCACAAUCCUAUUUGCAUCUGCAGUAACAACUGUAUGCUGAAAAACAACCCUCUUAGGGGCAGUGUUGCUGUAG
This 551-nucleotide unclassified non-coding RNA is filed under the name Hevea brasiliensis (rubber tree). The record is from RNAcentral. Lineage: Eukaryota; Viridiplantae; Streptophyta; Magnoliopsida; Malpighiales; Euphorbiaceae.